UCUAUCACUUUCUGAUUACAGAGGCUCAAUUUUAACCACUAACAUAAAGUGUUCUGAGCUCUACAGGCACAUUGCUUAUUGUUUGUUGCUGUUUUCAUAUAAAACAUUUGCUCGAUAAAUUAUUAAAACAUUUUUCGACUCAAACAAAAUAAACUUUUCUUCUGUAGUGUAUAUGUAUCUAAAAUUAAUUUUAUAGCAUGUCGAAUAAUACUUUUAUAAAUGUCAAAAUAUUAUUUUAAAAAUUUUAAAAUAUUUACAUAUUUAAAAUUCAAUUUCGAAACUUUACUAUUUCAUCUAUAUGCUCUUAAAUAUAAUUUUUUUUUUUUUAACACUUAAUUGCACUUGACAUUAAAACUACCACGUAGUUUUUAAGAUUUUGGUUUCAGCAUACUAAUCGAUACAUUAAAGGAAGGGAGAAGAACGUAAUCCAAGAAUGACAAGGCACCAAUUUAUACCAUAUUUACUCUAACAUGGAAUCGAUAAUAUGAUAAAGAAAAUAUCUGCUAGACAUGUUAAUUUGCUAAAUCCUAUGGUACCUCUUUAGCACAAUCAAGUGAAUGAUCAUCUUAAUCAUUUUGCGUACUGCAGGAGCAAACUGGAAGAUUUGAUUUCAGUACACAUUUUUGUUACUACCAGGAAGUUUUUCCGUAGACCGAAUUUCCUAGUGAAUUCAGAUGGAAAAGCUGUUGUUUUUGACAUGGAUAUGAGUGCUGGAGAUUUUCUAGCCUUCUUUAUCUCCAAAAACUGCCUAAGCAAUUGGUCAACGUCAAGGUAAUGCAUGGAACUUGAAGAAAACAGGUUAAAUUAAAUGACUGAUACACCAGCGAAUACUUAUUAGCUCAACUGGCUGGGCGGCCUCUGCAACAGUUGAUGUUGUAUAUGAUGUACUGCAUAUGAAUGGCCGCGAUUGGAUACCUGUUGGUCUUGGAGAUGCAUUUGCUGUUAGCUGAGCACAUGCCAAGACCAUCAUAUUCCUCAUGGCAGUUGUGGUUUCUUGGAUUCAGAUACACUGUAUGGGCUUGCUCGUGAAUAUGCCUCGUAGUCCUAGAAGAUACCCAGCUGAGAGUUCUAUAAAAUUUGGAGCUCCGCGAGACACUGGUAACCCUGAACUUAGGCUACCCUGCACAGGAUGUUGGAAAUAUCUUGUAGAAUCACUGGUUGUAGGAUCAUAAUUAAGCUACUGUAUUGACAAAUGGACCAUACAAAGUCGGCGCAGAUCACUCCGUCAGAGAAUACGAUGAUUCAGGAGAGAAGGGAAUUGAAUUCGGUUAAUGAGGCUGAGUUUAGUUCGCUGCAUGGCUCAUAGCAUUACAGCCCCACAACCCUUUGAAUGGGGAAAACUCAUUGAGAUAAUGUCUGAUGCAGGAAAUUUACAUUGUACGAGGAACGCAGGCAGCGCCAACGAGAAAAGGGAAUCUUUUUACUGUUCCUUCAAAUGAAUAAGCUAAAUUCAACAUCAACAUGUAUCUUGACCCUUUAGCUGCAAAGGCAGUUUCAGAGGCUGAAUUGAACAUUACACUCGCUCUGUUGAACAAGAAAAGGAAAGUUAGUUCUUUCCUUCAAACGCUUAACAAUUGGCAUUCAUGAAGCUGCAUUUAUCCAGAAUCUAAUUUCCAGGAGAAAUUCUUGGUGCAAUAAUCCUAUGUUGAAGCAUUGAGAUUUUCUUAUGGUACCUGGAGCUAAUGAGGACAGCCAUACUUUCAAGAUUGUAAUUUUUUUUUUUUUAAAUGUUUUGCUUCUGAAACUAUGUAAAUGUGUGCAAGUCCUUAAAAUCUGGAAUAUUGUCUACCUAAAAUAUGAUGCUUUUGAUUUACAUUUUAUUGCAGUAGGUAUUGACUUGUCUUUAGCUUUUGUAUUUGCUGCUAUAUUAAUUAAGCAGCCUCUAUUUUGAAAUAUUAGUGAGAAGAAGUGAA
This is a long non-coding RNA of Ricinus communis (castor bean), 1913 nucleotides long. RefSeq lists it as uncharacterized. The record is from RefSeq and is a predicted model, not a curated record. The transcript is spliced from 2 exons. NCBI's taxonomy places the organism in Eukaryota, Viridiplantae, Streptophyta, Magnoliopsida, Malpighiales, Euphorbiaceae.